UAUCCAUCCAGCAUCUUGGUCAUACAACAAACAAACAAUUAGAUCUAUAAGCUUCUAAAGUCACUAUCAGAACGUUUUUGGGUUUUCCAGAAACCCAGGUAGUUCGACUAGGUACUUUCCAGGCCAAAUUAAUCUAGGUUCUGUCCAUUAGUUAAGUGUUAUUAUGGUUCAACUCUAUAGUCCACAUGUCAUUGAACAUAACUAUAACCACAGAUCAUACCAACUACAUCACAUGUUCCAGAUUCAUCUCGGUCAAACCUUGUCAGAAUCAUUGUUCAACCGGUUUCUGGGUUUUCCAGAAAUGGUAUCCAUGAUCGACAGGCCUUGUUUGACCAUCCUCUCUGUUCGAUCUGUUGAUGGUUUAAAGGAUCUUAAGGCAUGGAUCUAUACUCCAGACAACCGGCUACAAAUACAUUACAACAACAUCAACAAACAACAUCAUAACUGUCAGAUCUGGGCCUUGCAAAAAGUUGUCAGACGCUGGAAAACCAUUUCUGGGUUACCCAGAAUUUGACUGGUCAUGCCCGGUCAACGGGUUUUGACCACGAAUAAAAUGAAAUCUAGACCUUAACUGACUGCGAUUUCACUUGCAGAACAAAGACCUCAUACCAGACUACCAAUCCAAAACAUAAAACAAGAAAAAUAAUAAACAGAGAAGAAUCUGUGGCUCCUGACAUUAGCUUGUCAGACCACACUUCAAGCUCAAGAACAAUUUUUGAAAAACACUAUUUUAAGGCACUUUGAUGCUAUGGAUCCAUGAUGGAUCAUCAUAGUUCAUUCUAAAACACCUUCUAGUAUGAAUCUAAACAUAUAAACACGAAAUUUUUCUUAGCAUACAAGAUCAAACUAUGAGCUAGGGUUUAUACCUCUCUUGUCCAAUCUUUGAUCCUUGAUCUCCUUAAUUGAUUUUGGUGAUCUAAAGGCUUGGUUAAUGACUGAUUCACUUAG
Molecule: long non-coding RNA, 948 nt
Filed under: Panax ginseng (ginseng)
Lineage: Eukaryota; Viridiplantae; Streptophyta; Magnoliopsida; Apiales; Araliaceae
Description: long non-coding RNA (PGIN_LNC010952)
Source: RNAcentral